CAACUACUCCCUCUGUCCCAAAUUUCUUGCCUUAGAUUUGUCUAGAUACGGAUGUAUCUAAUACUAAAAUGUGACUUGAAACAUCCGUAUCUAGACAAAUCUAAGACAAGAAUUUUGGGACGGAGGGAGUACUUU
This is a non-coding RNA of Triticum aestivum (bread wheat), 135 nucleotides long. The record is from Rfam. NCBI's taxonomy places the organism in Eukaryota, Viridiplantae, Streptophyta, Magnoliopsida, Poales, Poaceae.